Molecule: ribosomal RNA, 161 nt
Filed under: Trametes punicea
Lineage: Eukaryota; Fungi; Basidiomycota; Agaricomycetes; Polyporales; Polyporaceae
Description: 5.8S ribosomal RNA
Rfam family: 5.8S ribosomal RNA
About the family: 5.8S ribosomal RNA (5.8S rRNA) is a component of the large subunit of the eukaryotic ribosome. It is transcribed by RNA polymerase I as part of the 45S precursor that also contains 18S and 28S rRNA.
Source: RNAcentral
UACAACUUUCAGCAACGGAUCUCUUGGCUCUCGCAUCGAUGAAGAACGCAGCGAAAUGCGAUAAGUAAUGUGAAUUGCAGAAUUCAGUGAAUCAUCGAAUCUUUGAACGCACCUUGCGCUCCUCGGUACUCCGAGGAGCAUGCCUGUUUGAGUGUCAUGGA